AACACGCGUUUCACUUUAUAACAGUGCUCCGUCUCCCCAUUUCUCUUUCCGUCUCUAUCAUUCUCUCUCUAUCGUUUGCUCUCUCCGUCCUAGAUCUAGGGUUUUCUCCGUCUCUCUCAUGCUUCUUGAGAGAUUCACCAGUUCGAUUACGAUUACUUGAGAAAGAUGGACCGGUUGAGUUGCAGGAACGCGAGGUUACGAGACUGAGGAGUGAAAAAGGAUAGAGAUCAUGGAUCGGGAUCGAGACAGGGAUCGAGACCGAGACCGGUCGAGUCGAAGCAAGAGGAGGAGACGAGAUCAUGAAUACUGGGUUUCUGGUAAUCCUCCUAAGGUCUGGUCCUCCCGUCGCUACCGCCCCUCAGGUUUGCACAAGCUCUCUCUAUUGAACAUGGAAGGUUGCCCUGUUACUGCGGUAUGCUUGGACUCUCUUGCAGCUAUUCCUGCCCUGCUAUAUUUGAACCUAAGUAGAUGUAAUUUGUCUGACGAUGGGUGUGAAAAGUUUUCAGGGCUACGGAAUAAAGUACUAAGCUUGGGAUUCAAUGAUAUCUCAGAUGCUUGUUUGGUACACAUGAGAGAGCCCUUCAGAGUUUAUAUGGAUAAAAUAGAGACAUGUCAUUUUAGAAUUGUGGAAAUUGAAAAAUCAAUUGGUGACACUAUGAUCAACAACACUGAUGCAGAAAGCAGACUUACACUGGCAGAUGCUUUGGUAUAUGCCUGUAACCAAGGUGUAGAGCAGUAGCUUCCACUCUUUCUGUCUUUCCUCUAGAUAAACACCUCAUUGUCUGAGCUUGGACACAAGUUUCAGAGAUAAGAGUAAGUAAAGGUCUUGGAGAAUCAAUUCAAGAACGGCUAUGGAAAACUAUUGCUUUGGUAAGGUGCUCUCCCACACAGACAUUACGUACACAUUGGAGAUACCGAACUGGGCAGCUGAUUUGCCUGAAUACAAUGAUGCCGUCAUGCCAGUGUGGGAUCAAGGUGGAAGAUAUUGGGAGCUUCGUAUGACAAUAAGGGCAGAUCAAAGAAAGGCCUUGAAAUCAAAAGAAUGGCUUGAUUUAGC
Molecule: non-coding RNA, 1057 nt
Organism: Camellia sinensis
Lineage: Eukaryota; Viridiplantae; Streptophyta; Magnoliopsida; Ericales; Theaceae
Source: RefSeq, a predicted model, not a curated record